This is a long non-coding RNA of Piliocolobus tephrosceles (Ugandan red Colobus), 492 nucleotides long. RefSeq lists it as uncharacterized. The transcript has 2 exons. The record is from RefSeq and is a predicted model, not a curated record. NCBI's taxonomy places the organism in Eukaryota, Metazoa, Chordata, Mammalia, Primates, Cercopithecidae.
CUGCCUCAAACUCCCAAGUAGCUGGGACUACAGGCGCCCACCACCAUGCCCGAUGAGAAGAUUAAAAGACUUGAAUGGGACAAGGAAUAAAGUGGCAUACCUCCAUCCUUGGUUUGGACUAACCCAUCAAUGUGGUAGACACAGGUCCCUCUUCAAGGAAGGAUUUGCUGACAAGCAGUGGGUGGCACAAUCAGAAACAAUCUACAGCUGUUAGCUUCUUCUGGUUUUGCCUCAGCUGCAGAGACACACUUUGCCCAAAGUCAUGCCCAUCCUGGGCACUGUGCAUCUGGUGACUGAACAAGGCCUGGCCGUUUGUUUCAGGAAUAUAAAGCCCUGGAUAUUUGUUUUGGGACAACUCUAAAGGACCAUACCCACUCUAGAGUUCCCUGCUGGGUUGACCUACAUUGCUGUUGACUUCUCCCUCCACCUAAUCCUGUUUUAACCCCCUCCUGUCAUAGGUAUUGAUCCCUAAUAAAUAUCCUGCAACCCAAA